Molecule: ribosomal RNA, 460 nt
Filed under: uncultured bacterium
Lineage: Bacteria
Description: partial 16S ribosomal RNA
Rfam family: Bacterial small subunit ribosomal RNA
Source: RNAcentral
CCUACGGGUGGCAGCAGUGAGGAAUAUUGGUCAAUGGCCGUAAGGCUGAACCAGCCAAGUCGCGUGAAGGAAGAAGGAUCUAUGGUUUGUAAACUUCUUUUAUAGGGGAAUAAAGGUAUCCACGUGUGGAUAUUUGCAUGUACUCUAUGAAUAAGCAUCGGCUAACUCCGUGCCAGCAGCCGCGGUAAUACGGAGGAUGCGAGCGUUAUCCGGAUUUAUUGGGUUUAAAGGGUGCGUAGGUUGUUUUUUAAGUCAGCGGUGAAAGGUUGUGGCUCAACCAUAAAAUUGCCGUUGAUACUGGAAGACUUGAGUGUGUUUGAGGUAGGCGGAAUGCGUGGUGUAGCGGGGAAAUGCAUAGAUAUCACGCAGAACUCCGAUUGCGAAGGCAGCUUACUAAGCCAUAACUGACACUGAGGCACGAAAGCGUGGGGAGCAAACAGGAUUAGAUACCCCUGUAGUC